This is a long non-coding RNA of Phyllostomus discolor (pale spear-nosed bat), 896 nucleotides long. RefSeq lists it as uncharacterized. The record is from RefSeq and is a predicted model, not a curated record. Lineage: Eukaryota; Metazoa; Chordata; Mammalia; Chiroptera; Phyllostomidae. The transcript has 3 exons.
CUAAGCCAGCGCGGGCGAAUGAGUGAGUACGAGCGCCUCUAAAGACUCCAGAGCUGCAGCGCUCACCGUUCUGUUCACGGUGCUUCACAGGGAUCACCCAGGUGACUGACCGUACAUCCCAGUCCCUCCCAUCCGACUUCACACUCUCGGCCCCGCAUGAUCCUUGUCAUCACAUCCCUUUUACACUCCAACGUGUCCUGACUUGGGACAAUCCACUGUAGAGUCACCAGGUGGAUGGUUCACCUGUCCAUCCUUUUCUGAGCACCUACUCUGGACCUGGCUCUGGGGUAAUGACUGGAAUACAAAGGGCAGGAGGACAGGUGAAUGAAAGGAACCCGGCAGGUUCCUCAGUGCAAAGGGCGAGCAGAUCAGCUACUCGGUGAUCUAAGAACCAAUGAAUCAACUGUGCAGAGGCAGGGGACUCCAGGCCAUCCUCCAAGCUCAGCAAAUAUCCUGGAUAAGAUGCUUCUGAAGGCCACCGAGAUGCCCAACAUGCUCCUGAUGUGAAUCCCGUGCAGGAACGCUGCGGCAGUUUGCACACGUCCAUUGUCCUCGGGACCAAGUCCUCUCACCUGCACACACAGUGUGUGUGUGUGUGUGUCUGGGAGUGCUCUCACCUGCAGCUGUCUGUGUGCCACCUCUGGCUGGUCUCCUGCACCAGUGACCGGCCUCCCUGAAGCUCAGCACCUUCAGGCUCCACGUUUAAAAUGCAGGGAGUGCAGCCCUGCUGUUGUGGCUCAGUGGGUUGGGUGUCCUCUUGCAAGCCACAGGGUCCUUGGUUGGAUUCCCAGUCAGAGCACACGUAUGGCCAGGCCCCUGGUUAGGCCCCAGUGUCUGACUGUGGCCCUGACUCAGCCAUCCACAGUUUAAAAAAUUACAUUGGUGUCACUCUUGUU